AACGAACGCUGGCGGCAGGCUUAACACAUGCAAGUCGAACGGUUGUAGCAAUACAGCAGUGGCGCACGGGUGAGUAACGCGUGGAUAUCUGCCUUUUGGUUCGGAAUAACUCCGGGAAACUGGAGCUAAUACCGGAUGGUUCCUGCGGGAUAAAGAUUUAUCGGCCAAAAGAUGAGUCCGCGUACGAUUAGCUAGUUGGUGAGGUAAUGACUCACCAAGGCGACGAUCGUUAGCUGGUCUGAGGGGACGAUCAGCCACACUGGGACUGAGACACGGCCCAGACUCCUACGGGAGGCAGCAGUGGGAAUAUUGGAC
This 315-nucleotide ribosomal RNA is filed under the name uncultured bacterium. RNAcentral describes it as "bacterial SSU rRNA". It matches the Rfam family "Bacterial small subunit ribosomal RNA", at positions 29 to 369 of the family's 1533-position model. The record is from RNAcentral.